Molecule: ribosomal RNA, 253 nt
Filed under: uncultured prokaryote
Description: partial 16S ribosomal RNA
Rfam family: Bacterial small subunit ribosomal RNA
Source: RNAcentral
AUACGUAGGGGGCUAGCGUUGUCCGGAUUUAUUGGGCGUAAAGAGCGUGUAGGCGGCCAGAUAGGUCUGCUGUGAAAACUCGAGGCUCAACCUCGAGCUGUCGGCGGAAACCAUUUGGCUAGAGUCCGGAAGAGGAGAGUGGAAUUCCUGGUGUAGCGGUGAAAUGCGCAGAUAUCAGGAAGAACACCUAUGGCGAAGGCAGCUCUCUGGGACGGUACUGACGCUGAGACGCGAAAGCGUGGGGAGCGAACAG